GACGAACGCUGGCGGCGUGCUUAACACAUGCAAGUCGAACGGAAAGGCCCUGCUUUUGUGGGGUGCUCGAGUGGCGAACGGGUGAGUAACACGUGAGUAACCUGCCCUUGACUUUGGGAUAACUUCAGGAAACUGGGGCCAAUACCGGAUAGGAGCUCCUGCUGCAUGGUGGGGGUUGGAAAGUUUCGGCGGUUGGGGAUGGACUCGCGGCUUAUCAGCUUGUUGGUGGGGUAGUGGCUUACCAAGGCUUUGACGGGUAGCCGGCCUGAGAGGGUGACCGGCCACAUUGGGACUGAGAUACGGCCCAGACUCCUACGGGAGGCAGCAGUGGGGAAUAUUGCACAAUGGGCGGAAGCCUGAUGCAGCAACGCCGCGUGCAGGAUGACGGCCUUCGGGUUGUAAACCGCUUUCGCCUGUGACGAAGCGUGAGUGACGGUAAUGGGUAAAGAAGCACCGGCUAACUACGUGCCAGCAGCCGCGGUGAUACGUAGGGUGCGAGCGUUGUCCGGAUUUAUUGGGCGUAAAGGGCUCGUAGGUGGUUGAUCGCGUCGGAAGUGUAAUCUUGGGGCUUAACCCUGAGCGUGCUUUCGAUACGGGUUGACUUGAGGAAGGUAGGGGAGAAUGGAAUUCCUGGUGGAGCGGUGGAAUGCGCAGAUAUCAGGAGGAACACCAGUGGCGAAGGCGGUUCUCUGGGCCUUUCCUGACGCUGAGGAGCGAAAGCGUGGGGAGCGAACAGGCUUAGAUACCCUGGUAGUCCACGCUGUAAACGGUGGGUACUAGGUGUGGGGUCCAUUCCACGGGUUCCGUGCCGUAGCUAACGCUUUAAGUACCCCGCCUGGGGAGUACGGCCGCAAGGCUAAAACUCAAAGGAAUUGACGGGGCCCCGCACAAGCGGCGGAGCAUGCGGAUUAAUUCGAUGCAACGCGUAGAACCUUACCUGGGUUUGACAUGGAUCGGGAGCGCUCAGAGAUGGGUGUGCCUCUUUUGGGGUCGGUUCACAGGUGGUGCAUGGCUGUCGUCAACUCGUGUCGUGAGAUGUUGGGUUAAGUCCCGCAACGAGCGCAACCCUUGUUCACUGUUGCCAGCACGUUAUGGUGGGGACUCAGUGGAGACCGCCGGGGUCAACUCGGAGGAAGGUGGGGAUGACGUCAAGUCAUCAUGCCCCUUAUGCCCAGGGCUUCACGCAUGCUACAAUGGCUGGUACAGAGAGUGGCGAGCCUGUGAGGGUGAGCGAAUCUCGGAAAGCCGGUCUCAGUUCGGAUUGGGGUCUGCAACUCGACCUCAUGAAGUCGGAGUCGCUAGUAAUCGCAGAUCAGCAACGCUGCGGUGAAUACGUUCCCGGG
Molecule: ribosomal RNA, 1343 nt
Filed under: uncultured bacterium
Lineage: Bacteria
Description: 16S ribosomal RNA
Rfam family: Bacterial small subunit ribosomal RNA
Source: RNAcentral